UCUUGACUAGUAUAUCGGUUCAGUACACCCGCUUGUCAUCAUCUUGGAGCUGACAGAUUUCCGCGGGAGAGCAGGGUUCGACUCCCUGGUCGAGAG
Roridomyces roridus is the source of this 96-nucleotide non-coding RNA. Lineage: Eukaryota; Fungi; Basidiomycota; Agaricomycetes; Agaricales; Mycenaceae. The record is from the annotation of a GenBank genome assembly.